GAUGAAGAACGCAGCGAAAUGCGAUAAGUAAUGUGAAUUGCAGAAUUCAGUGAAUCAUCGAAUCUUUGAACGCAUCUUGCGCUCCUUGGUAUUCCGAGGAGCAUGCCUGUUUGAGUGUCAUUUAACUUCUCAACCACAUUGGAUAUUUUUUUUCCGAUGCCGGCUUGGAUGUGGGGGUUGUUUGCAGGCUUUUUGUAACAAAAAAGGUCGGCUCCCCUGAAAUGUAUUAGUGGUAUCUGAGGCUAUUACUAUUAGGUGUGAUAAUUAUCUAUGCCUUUUGGGUAUGCCGCAUGAACAGAUUAUGCUGCUUCUAACGAAAACUAGUUUGAUGAAUUUGACCUCAAAUCAGGUAGGACUACCCGCUGAACUUAAGCAUAUCAAUAAGCGGAGGA
Molecule: unclassified non-coding RNA, 392 nt
Filed under: soil metagenome
Description: partial contains 5.8S ribosomal RNA, internal transcribed spacer 2, and large subunit ribosomal RNA
Rfam family: 5.8S ribosomal RNA (bases 1-120)
Source: RNAcentral